This is a long non-coding RNA of Lethenteron reissneri (Far Eastern brook lamprey), 394 nucleotides long. RefSeq lists it as uncharacterized. NCBI's taxonomy places the organism in Eukaryota, Metazoa, Chordata, Hyperoartia, Petromyzontiformes, Petromyzontidae. The record is from RefSeq and is a predicted model, not a curated record.
GUGCCGGGCCCGGGUGUUCACCGACGCCGGGCCGGCACUAGCGGCGGGGCGCAAGCUCCAGCGGGGGCAGGUGACGCUGCUCUUCAGCCUGGAGGAGUUCGCUCGCGAUGUGCGCCGCUACGUGGAGGGCAGCAGCUGCGUGGCGCCCCCCACGGCGGUGCUGCUCUGCUUCGGGGAGAUGCCCGGUGACAGCGGAGCUCACAAACAGCUCAUCACCGCACGGAUUGAGCCACUGCUGGCUGUGGAAAGUCUUCGCCGGGUCCGGGAUGUCCUGGCCAAGCCUCCACCGCCGUCGUCAUCGCCGCCACCGGCACCAGGUCGUCGCCAGGACGACGACCCCGGCAGCCUGGACACCAUCAUGAAGUUCCUCACCGACACCGACGAUGGCGGUGGC